This is a ribosomal RNA of 380 nucleotides. It matches the Rfam family "Eukaryotic large subunit ribosomal RNA", at positions 962 to 1384 of the family's 3401-position model. The record is from Rfam.
CGAAGUUUCCCUCAGGAUAGCUAGCGUUGAACAGUUUUUUCAGGUAGGGCGACUGAGUAGAGGAAUCGGGGCGCGUUGUCUUCGACCUAUUCUCAAAAGUUUUACAUGGGCAAGACGGUAAGACCCACAGUCGUUACUUGAUUGGGCAGUUUUGGAAGAAAGGACUGGCGAUGAGGGAUGAACCUAACGCUCAUCAGAUACCACAAAGGGUGUUGGUUCAUUUUGAUGGCAGGACGCUGGUCAUGGACGUCGAAAUCCGCUGAGGAGUGUGUAAUAAUUCAGCUGCCGAAUGGACUAGCUGACUAGCCCCGGAAAUGGAUGACGCUCCAGCUGGCGACCGAUGCCCGACCACUGCUGCAAUUUUCACAAGUCGGCGAUGG